UACGUAGGGUGCGAGCGUUAAUCGGAAUUACUGGGCGUAAAGCGUGCGCAGGCGGUUUUGUAAGCCAGAUGUGAAAUCCCCGGGCUUAACCUGGGAAUGGCAUUUGGGACUGCAAGGCUCGAGUGCGGCAGAGGAGACUGGAAUUCCUGGUGUAGCGGUGAAAUGCGCAGAUAAUCAGGAGGAACACCGGUGGCGAAGGCGGGUCGUCUGGGCCGAUACUGACGCUGAGGAGCGAAAGCGUGGGGAGCGAACAGG
RNAcentral lists this ribosomal RNA (255 nucleotides) under uncultured bacterium. Its description in RNAcentral is "partial 16S ribosomal RNA". It matches the Rfam family "Bacterial small subunit ribosomal RNA", at positions 524 to 776 of the family's 1533-position model. The record is from RNAcentral.